Molecule: unclassified non-coding RNA, 205 nt
Filed under: Hevea brasiliensis (rubber tree)
Lineage: Eukaryota; Viridiplantae; Streptophyta; Magnoliopsida; Malpighiales; Euphorbiaceae
Source: RNAcentral
GGUCGUCAGACUCAUAGAACAGGUAAUGGCUCCAAAACAGCCGAAUACAGGCCUUUUUGUUGGGCUGAACAAGGGCCACGUAGUCACCAAGAAGGAGUUGGCCCCACGACCCUCCGAUCGGAAAGGAAAAACAAGUAAAAGGGUUCUUUUUGUCCGGAGUUUGAUCCGGGAAGUUGCUGGGUUUGCCCCAUAUGAGAAGAGAAUC